RNAcentral lists this long non-coding RNA (845 nucleotides) under Hordeum vulgare. Its description in RNAcentral is "long non-coding RNA (HVUL_LNC005847)". Lineage: Eukaryota; Viridiplantae; Streptophyta; Magnoliopsida; Poales; Poaceae. The record is from RNAcentral.
CACAGAAUCGAUGACUAGCUAGCUACAAGAUGGUGUCCAGGUUCAAUGCACUCGAUCACUGUCGUCGUUCAAAGUUUAGAGACCCAAAUGAUGACUAGUUUCAAAACAGAGAAGAUGCUUGGAAAGGGCAUGUUGAUUGAGAUGGAGAUGGAGAUACUGAGGGUAUACGCAUCUUUGGAGAAGCAUCAUUCACAGAGGCGGGAUGAUGACGAUGCGGCGGGCGCUUUUCCUCCUCUUCCUCAUACCGUAGGAGGAGAAGAGGUCGUCGUCGUCGUCCUCGCAUGGAGUUCCCUCAUUCGGACUUCUUGGCUCUCUAGUUUGUCGUUGUUCGUUCGAUCAGGUAGGUAGGAGGGUUUUGUUCCGGUGCUGUGAUCUCCCUUGUGAUUUUCGUAUAUUUUCCUUCUCCUCUUGAUGCGUGUUGUUCUUGCAGCUUGAUAAUGUAUGUUUUGCUCCGAUGACCUCUGGAAAUGCAUGCUUGUGCGUGUCUGUGUGUUUCUGGAUGCAAUAUGCUGUGAUCCACAUGACACGAUGAGCUCAGCACGAACUCGUACCCAUUCAACAGCAAAGAGCAAACACGGCCAGCUCAAACCAACAAGGCAUGGCAUAAGCAAAUUCUGGUCAUUCAAGGGGCGAAGUGAAACAGGUUCAGCUAGCUAAACUACUACAGUGUUUCCACAGAAUUUCUUAGGUAUGCAAACACCAUCGUCACGAGGGUUUCACAUAUAGCUCUACAUGUCCAUACCAUAGAUAACCUUAGCCAACUACAUGUCCACGUGUACAGUCCACAACCAUGGAUAAACUUGACCAACAUGUCCAUAGAUAACGAGAUAGAUAGCCUAUAACGG